UCUAAUGUGGCAGAAUAGUGCAAUGAAUUUAAGCUUCAUAUAUAAAGUUAAAACUUUUUUUAGAA
Molecule: transfer RNA, 65 nt
Filed under: Onthophagus capella
Lineage: Eukaryota; Metazoa; Arthropoda; Insecta; Coleoptera; Scarabaeidae
Also listed under: 1 other name
Description: tRNA-Leu
Rfam family: tRNA
About the family: Transfer RNA (tRNA) molecules are approximately 80 nucleotides in length. Their secondary structure includes four short double-helical elements and three loops (D, anti-codon, and T loops). Further hydrogen bonds mediate the characteristic L-shaped molecular structure. tRNAs have two regions of fundamental functional importance: the anti-codon, which is responsible for specific mRNA codon recognition, and the 3' end, to which the tRNAs corresponding amino acid is attached (by aminoacyl-tRNA synthetases). tRNAs cope with the degeneracy of the genetic code in two manners: having more than one tRNA (with a specific anti-codon) for a particular amino acid; and 'wobble' base-pairing, i.e. permitting non-standard base-pairing at the 3rd anti-codon position.
Source: RNAcentral